UACGAAGGGGGCUAGCGUUGCUCGGAAUUACUGGGCGUAAAGGGCGCGUAGGCGGACAGCUUAGUCAGAGGUAAAAGCCCAGGGCUCAACCUUGGAACUGCCUUUGAUACUGGCUGUCUUGAGUUCGGGAGAGGUGAGUGGAAUGCCGAGUGUAGAGGUGAAAUUCGUAGAUAUUCGGCGGAACACCAGUGGCGAAGGCGACUCACUGGCCCGAUACUGACGCUGAGGCGCGAAAGCGUGGGGAGCGAUCCGG
This 253-nucleotide ribosomal RNA is filed under the name uncultured bacterium. RNAcentral's name for it is "partial 16S ribosomal RNA". It matches the Rfam family "Bacterial small subunit ribosomal RNA", at positions 524 to 776 of the family's 1533-position model. The record is from RNAcentral.